RNAcentral lists this unclassified non-coding RNA (1361 nucleotides) under Hevea brasiliensis (rubber tree). The record is from RNAcentral. Lineage: Eukaryota; Viridiplantae; Streptophyta; Magnoliopsida; Malpighiales; Euphorbiaceae.
CUUGCAACUAUGUUUCCUUUACACCAAGGCAAUGAGCUGUGCUUCCAGAUUUCUUCCAAUGCUCCCCACAAAAUCCCACAAGAUAUAAUUCUCCCUCACCCUGUACUCUAUGGCAGUCCUGAUUUAACAGAUGACUUGGGAAAAAGUAGGCGGCGAAGAUCCAUUUCUAUGGACAAUGAUGAGACUGCUAGGGAUAACGGUAAUAAUAAGAAGAAGUUAUUGCACAGGGAUAUUGAACGCCAAAGGAGGCAGGAAAUGGCCACCCUUUAUGCAUCCCUUCGAUCUUUACUCCCUCUUGAAUAUAUCAAGGGAAAGCGUUCAAUAUCUGAUCACAUGAACGAGGCUGUGAAUUAUAUAAAGCACCUGCAGAAGAGGAUCAAAGAACUAGAUGCCAAGAGGAAUGAGUUAAAGCAGAAGACUAAUUUUAGAGAUAUUCCCCUACAAAGUAGCGGAAGUUCAAGCAACUGUUCCCCAAGUACGGGAGUCAUAAUCCGGCCUAAUUUGGGUGGCAUUGAGAUUGUGUUCAGCAGUGGCUUUAGGGAGCAAGAUUUGACACUAUCAGGAGCACUGCAACUACUCCUUGAAGCUGAGCUUUCUGUAGUUAACUGUGUUUCCACCAAAGUGAAUGAAAGGGUAUUUCACACCGUCCAGGCUGAGGUAUAUAUAAUCACUUAUUCUCAAUUGCUAGGUUUAGGGUUUUAAGCAUACAUGUUUUGAAGUUGCUAUCAAAUUGUAAUUAAUCAAGUUUAGGAGCAGCUUAACUUCACUUGUGAUGUUUACUUCACAGGUGAAAGAUUCAGCUUGCUUAAAUCUGUCCGAGCUGCAGCAGAAAUUAAACCCGCUUGUCCCUUGAUCUUAGUGAUGUUCUUUAUUCAAAUUACUAAGUUGGUGAUUUGAGGACCCCAUUUCUGCACUGUACAUUUCUAACUUUUGAUCCGAACACUUGACUUGGUAGUAAUUGCUUGAUUAGAUGAUUUUCCUUAUAAUAAGAUGAAUGCGAGGAUGCUCUACCUUCAUGUUUUUGAGAAAUGUGUCUUUUUGUUAGUAUAGUUAUAUGAUAAAAUAUUUGAGGUCAGUUAGUUCAGAAAUUUUCUUUAAGCCUUAUGUGCGGCAUAACGUGCAUUAGCUUAUAGAAGGCGAUGUAAUUUGGAUGAUUUAGCUUUUUAAAGGAUUUUGUGGCCUAUGAGAUUAAGAACUACUUGAGAAGAGCAGUUCAUUAGAAAAUCAUGUGUAAUGGUCAGUUUUUCUUUAAUGGUCAGUUUUUCUUUCGUUGUUGCUGUAUUGGUAUCAUGUAAUUCUUUUAAAUCAUUAUUACUUUCAACUAACUCCUUUUUCAGGUUAGAGUCAUAUGAGAUCCUGAA